This is a long non-coding RNA of Oreochromis aureus, 378 nucleotides long. RefSeq lists it as uncharacterized. The record is from RefSeq and is a predicted model, not a curated record. The transcript has 3 exons. NCBI's taxonomy places the organism in Eukaryota, Metazoa, Chordata, Actinopteri, Cichliformes, Cichlidae.
GGGAUUUAAAGCCUUUCAGCUUAAGGUAUUAAUAAAUGUUGACAUAAACAGAAACGACUACAUGAAAGCGCCAACGUAACUCGACAAUAGGUGUCUGAAAUCAAUCUUCUGCUUCAGCAGCCAGCGGCUGUGUCCACACAGGCAGUGGCGACCAUAGACGAUUCAGUGACAUUAAGCGACUUCAAUUGACGAUGGCUAAAGUAACAGCUGGCGACGUGGAAAGAGCAGCUCCCAAAGUUAGAUUUUAAAAGUCGUCAAGGAGACCAACUGAUGUUACUCACCCACUGAGCACGACUAUGAAGUCCAUGAUGUUCCAGCCAUUCCUUAGAUAGGAGCCUUUAUGGAAAACAAAACCAAGUGCCACCAGCUUGAUCCCAG